RNAcentral lists this long non-coding RNA (1377 nucleotides) under Equus asinus (donkey). RNAcentral's name for it is "lncRNA (ENSEASG00005024654.1)". The record is from RNAcentral. Lineage: Eukaryota; Metazoa; Chordata; Mammalia; Perissodactyla; Equidae.
AUCUAGCCUCCUCUUAGCUAGAGUGGCUCAGCUGGGGCAGCCGUGCUCUAUGUGUCUCUCAGCCUCCUCGUGGGGCCAGCAGGCUAGCCAAGGCGUAUUCUCAAGGUGAUGGCAGAGACACAGGAGGGCAAAAGGGAGCACACCAAGACCUGCCAAGACCUACCCUUGGAAUUGGCUCACUGUCACCUCCACUUCUUCUUACUGGCCAAAGUAAGUCACAUGGCUAAGCUAAAAGUCAAUGGAGUGUGGAAAUAUACUGUGCUGUUAUGGAAGAAACUUCAAAGUCACAUGACACAGUUGAAACUACAAGGAGAGGUAAAGAACUGGAACCAGUGAUGCAAUCUGCCGUCAUCACGCUCCCCAUCAGCUUCUUCAUGGGGCUUGCCACGCUUAAAAUCAUGUUACAAUAUAUGCAUUUAUUUGAUCGGUGUUUUAUUCUCCUACUAGACAGUAAACUCCACAAGGGCAAAGAACAAGUCAGAGUCAUUCAUUUCUGCAUCUAACAUGGUGCCUAACACAGUGCUGGGCAUACAGUAGGUGCUCAAUAUUUGUUGAUUGAAUGAAGGUGUGGCAGGAACAUCAGUGGGAGGUGUUCACAGGGAGGAGAAGUAAUUUCUGAAUGAAUCGAGCAAGGCAAGCUUCUUGGAGGAAGUCUUCACUGUGAGUUAAGAAUUAAAUGCAGGGGCCGGCCCCGUGGCUGAGUGGUUAAGUUCUCGCGCUCCACUUUGGCGGCCCAGGGUUUCACCGGUUCGGAGCCUGGGUGCAGACAUGGCACCACUCAUCAAGCCAUGCUGAGGUGGCAUCCACAUGCCACAACCAGAAGGACCCACAACUAAAAAUACACAACUAUGUACCGGGGGGAUUUGGGGAGAAAAAGGGGAAAAAAUCUUAAAAAACCAAAAAUUAGAAAUCAUGUUAGAUGCAAAAAUACCUUUUAAAAAAAAAAGAAAAAAGAAUUAAAUGCGUUUCUCUCUGGCUCGCUUCUCCUCCCUUUGCCUGGUUUUGAAGCAGAGAUUGGACUUUCAAUUUCUUCUUUCCGAGAGCAGAGGGCUCUCUGCUUCCCCACCGCACUCCCUCUGUUGGUGGAGGUGAGGCUGUGGGGAGGGUCCGGAUGCACAGCUGGCAAUGCCCUGGGCUGGAGCCAUGAAACCUCUGGGUUCCAGCACUAGACUUCCCAUUCACACGCGCUCCGCUUGCCUCGUUGCCUUCAGCAUCCCAACCCUGCAAUCCUUCUUCCACGUGUGUCUAAAGCCUAGACAUGGCUGACAGCGUUCUUGGAAUGGAGCCUCUGCCUCCCACUUCAGCCCCAUCUCCUGCUCUGUGCCCUGCCUUUCACCGCCUAAGCUCCAGCGGUACUGUAUCAUCUUCAAUUUCUAG